ACAUAUUAAAAUUUACGAAUGUAAUUUAAUUUUCGCCAAAAUUACAAUUUAAACAUCAAAUUGUAACAAACUUUUACGCAUGACGGAUAUAGACGUCAUACACAAAAUUUUGCCACAUCUCCAUGACGGAUAUAGUCGUCAAACACGCUUAACUGAUUAAAUCUUCGAUUCUUUCCAAAAUAGUUUUUUUCCCCAAGUACAAAAAGUAUUUUAUACAUUUUUGACAUAUGUUCAUAACUACUUGUUACGAUAUAUUAUAAGUUUCUUUGAAAAAUGGUUUACUCGAGAGUAUUACUUCGUUGAUACCGCUUGAUUGAGGGUAACUUGGGACAAAAAAAGGGACAAUUACGGCAGAAACAUUGUCAAGGAUAUCGGUCAUAUUUUCUAUCCCAGUCACUCGCUCGAUCUUCCCCUUCAGACUCGAGGAAGAUGAUUCUCGUGGUAAGGUUAGGUCUUUCUUACAAGUAGAAGAGAAAAGUAGAAGAAGAAGAAGAAGAAGCGGAAGGAGGGUAGAAAAGUAAAGAAUCGGGCGGGUUGGGCCAAGCAUUGUGUCUUGAUAGAUGUGUCAAAUCCGAGGCGCAUUGUGUUCCUGGAGAUAAAUGGAGCCGGAGUGAAGAAGCAAAACACGUGCCUUUGUUACCGGUCUACUCAUCGAAGGUAAUUUAGAGCGCUUCUUCUAUUUCCAAAGAUAGCCUUAGGUACGAUACAAGUGCCACGCGUAUCUAACAUUUACCAAAACUCACAACUUUACUAUGUUGUAUGUAUUAUAUAUUUUUUUGUUCAAAAAUAUUCUAAAUCGUUAAGGAGUUUUGUACAAUUUGCAAUAAAAAAAAGGAUCAUUCCUAAGGACAAUAAAUUCUUUCGAUCAUAGUCGUUCUAAUUACCCUUCACCAUUAUCCAAUUAAUCUAGCACCAUUAAUUUCUUCCUAUCCGGAAACAUAUUUUUCAAAGAUCACCCCUCCGGGUGUCGUUCCUUGUAGACGUAGAACUUUCAAAAGACUACGCCGUUGCUCUUUGAUUAGUUUCUUUCCCCCUUGCUUAUGAAAGCAAGAGGGAAAAAAAGAAAAAGAAAAAUAAAGAAGGAGAGACAGAGUGCGAAAGGAAGAUGGGAGAAAAAAGAGGGAAAGGUCGGUAGUCGCACGUCAUUUAAGAAAGAUGCAUCGUAAUCGUCUCUCUCCUAUGCCGAGAAAGAAGAAGAAGAAGAAGAAGAAGAAGAAGAAGAAGGUAGUGAGUGUGUGGCUCGCUGAGAAACACAACUAAGGGAGAGACAGUACGGGACGCGGUCCGGGACACAAGUCCGGGACACAAGUCCGGGACACAGUCCGCCACCCUGGCGACAUGGCUGGGUGGAGAGCAGAAAGCGAGAAUUCUCCCGCGGCGCGGAGCCGCGGCACUCGCUUCGCAUAAAUCAUCCCGCUUCUGCUUGGAACAGGGAGAGGCGAAAAUAGAUGGAGCUCUCUGCGCUUUAUACAUAAAGAGAGAGAGAGAGAGAGAGAAAACAUAUCUCUCUUGCCUUCGUGCCCGUGGCUACAAGCAAGGGCCGUAUUUCUUCUUUUUCUUCUUCUUAUCCUCCAGCCUUCGUUUUAUCUUGUUUCUUUUCUUUUUCUAGUCGACCUCGUCGUCGGCGACAUCGAUGGCAUCGUCCUCCUUCCUUCCUUCCUUCCUUUACUACCUUUCCUACCUUAAGAAUAAAGACCUCCCACAUAUUUUCGUGACUUCCUUGAACACAGGUAUGAGCAAACCCACGCCAUAGGAUACUACUCUCGCUGUAAGCGCGAAAGGCCCGAGCUCAACUCCUUUCUAGAAUCUUAAGAAUCCAAGCACUCGUUCGGUGCUUACACACUGCCAACGCAUAACUCCCGGACAAUGUUCUCAGGAAGCUGACGCGAACUCGACGCACGAACCACCACACAGCCUUCCGGCAUAUGCCGCUCGCGGAAGUGCACUUUCUUUAACAAGCUCGUUUUCGCGCGCGCGCGCCGACAAUCUUUAUUUCUUUUUUUUUGUCCAAGACCCUGGAGAACUCGUGUUUCGUGCUUGUAAUGCCGCUGUCGAUUGGGAGAGAUAUCAUCGACCUGACCCGUUUGCUGCUUCCCGUCUUGAACACGUUCUUACAAGAAUGUUACUUUCGUCAGGUUUAACAUCAACGUGGAUGAUUAAGAGCUUCGCUUCUUUUUUUCCUGUUUCUUUUUUUUUAAAUUUCCCCGAAAGAAAUAUUUGUCGGAUGUUAAUGGUACGAAAGAAAUGUCUCCAUGUGAUUUAUCUCUUUCAUUCAAAGAAACAAAUAUAUGCCUUUCGACCGUUCGAGAAUGUUUGUUUCUCUUCAAAAAUAUCGUCCUAAAAUAAUAUGUAGACAUAUCGUUUUCUUCAAAUUGGAAAGGUUCGGACUAGUUCUCGUAAUGCAAAUAAAGGACAAUUUUUUCUACUUUUCCCUUUUUGUAUGCGAAGAAAGCAAAUCUCUAAAAUUCCUAAUCCAUAUAUUUGGAGUCUACAAAAGAAAAUUGGAUAAGACGAUGCUUAAGCAUAAAAAAUAUCAAAAGAAAGGGGCGUUUCUCAUUUGUUUGCUCCAUUUUCACCGUCGAAUAUCGGAUGAAUAACUUUGAUUCAAAGAAAAAACCGAAAAGUCAAAAAAAUCAAUUGGUACCCCCUGCCUGUUUUAAAACCAUGAAUCUCGUCUUGAAAAAAGAACUUUUUGUAGCAUUAUUUAUUUCUGUCAUACGGUAGUAACCGAUACUAAGAGAGAACCUGCUGCUGCUACUGCCGCCAUUGACGUCCUGUGACGACAACUGCGACAACUAAGACGACGAACAGACCGAGAACUAAGCUUUCCAGGGGAUCCCAUGAAGCAUCACGCUGAGCAAAGCGUGGUGCUCCAUAAAUCUUCUCCGUGUUUUUACGUAUCUGACCCCGUGCGACUGUUCCAUUAUUAGAUGCAGCUUUCAAGCUUACUCCGCAAGAAUUUCACGAAACCACACGUUGAACCAGCAAAGCAACUCCCUCCUCUCCGACCAUACUUUGACAUAUAUUGACCAACCAUAUGUCCCUCUCGUAUUCCACUUCUUUUCAUCUCGAUCGAAUCGAAUUUAUCAUCUAGGAUCAGAAAGAGAUAGAGCAACUUCCAAUUCUCCAUUCCUACCUUCUAUUUUGAUCUAUUCUUUGCCAUUUCUGCUUAAAAUCCAGUCACGAGAGAGGCGAGUGGUUAGUUUUCAGAAGAUUGGACAAACCGUUCCAAAUCUAUACGGUCAUACUGGCUUGGAAAGAAAGCGAUAUUUAUGUUUUCCAGAUCGUAAAUCACGUCGAACUACCCCAAUAGAUGUGGAUUUUCUAAAUGAUUACAUUUUUCAGUGAAUCUAUCGCUAAUAGAUUUAGAUCUAUACGUCAUCUAAAUGGUUCCUACUAACCAUUCUUUUGAACAAUGAUCUGUCAAGAAAAACUUAAAUUUAUGACGUGUCCAAAAAUUACAAUUAGAAUAAUAUGAAAGAAUGAUCGUAGGAACUAUGAUAUGCUAUACAAUUAUAUUAUAUUUUUAUAAAAAAAAAGAAAGAAAAGAAAAUAUAUAAGAGAGAAAAUGUUUGAGGAUAUAGUCGGGUACGCAACUGUGUUUCGUGCGGCUCUUAAACACGAAGCAGCGGCAGCAGCAACGGCAGCAAAUCAUUGUCGGGGUCAGAAACGAGCUGCGUGAAAAAUUGGCUGUGCUUCCAGAGAAAACCAAUAACGCCCCGCCACAUCAAACGCGGAUUCCGGGAAAUCAUUACCCGGUCUACGCCCAAGGCUUACACACAUACGGCGCGGCGUAGCGUUUAAACGCUGCUGGCUGCCUGUGGCUGGAGUAAGUCGAGCUUGGAAGUUGGCGCUGCGAUCAGCAAGUAGAGUUGGUGGUGGUGAUGGUGGUGGUGGUGGUGCGUUCGGUGCCAACGUGGCAUUGUCGCGCGGUGCUGGCGCAGCAGCAGCUUUUUCGCGGCUCGGUCUCUCCUCGGUGGCGCUGCUAUCGUAGUAGUUCUACCCCCUCCCUCUCGGUGCCCCCGCGACGUGAGUAACGUCCCGAGUAAUAUUACGAUGACAGUAAUUGCUGCUUUGAUCAAUGCAGAUACAGCCGCGCGUAGGCAGCCCUGUCACGCCACUGGGAUUCAACGCGAUCCUUUCCGGCGUCGUCGCGUUGCGGAUAGUCGCCGUAGGCGGAUGUAUUGCCUACGUGCCUACGACUCUCUUACGCGGAUUCCUCUUUACGUGUCUCUAUGUAUGUAUAUGUGUACUACGUCGAGAAAUAAUCGAGCUUGCUUCCUGCGUAACGGAUUUAGCUUCGAAGACGACAACACGAACGCGUUAACGACGAUGCCACGAUCCAUCACCUGUCGCGCCACUUUCAACUUUUUCCUCAAAGUCGGCCAUCUUUGACUUCCAGUACAUGCUCGAUUACUAGGUGUCUCGAGAAACUCCUCUCCCUAACUGUUUGGCUCUCGACGACGACGACUUCGUUAGGAAGAUUCAAUAGCUAAUCUCUUAAGAAAGAGAUCAAGGAUGAUGAUUUUAUUGCGAUCCUCACCUUUCUUCAUCUCCCCCUCGUCCCUUUCCUUCCCAUCCCUAGCGCGGAAAAGAGAUAUCCGACGCAUCGUUUCAUCGCCAAAUUAUCUUGGCAACCUACUGCUACGUAGGAUCUCGAGCUCACAGCGUUAUAAUAUUAUAGUUAUACAUUCCAGACACAUUUCGCUCGUAAAGUUCGUUAAAACGACGGCUGCUACGCUAGAGAAUCGCAUAAAGUACGUUUCAAACGGAAGACAGGGGCGACCCGACGCUCGACAUAAAUAUCGAACAAUCGUAAAGUCGAGGUGUCAUGCCAAAGAGAGAGAGAGAGAGAGAGAGAGAGAGAGAGAGAGAGAGACAAAACUAGCAUUGGAUGAGAACCCUCGGACUUCUAUUAACGAUCACCGAUCGACGAACUCCACCAGACAGAUCUACGUAAAAAAAAAAGAUAGAAAAAGAAAAAACCAGUACGUGUGCAUGCGUGCGUGUGCGUGCACUCUAUGAGAAUCGUCCUAGCAGGAGUCCAAGAACCAUCUUUUACCCCUCCUCCUUUUUUCCUUCUUCUUCUUCUUCUUCUUCUUCUGAAACCCCUCCCUCCUUCCCACCCCUCUUUUUUCCAUCCCUCACUCUCUCUCUCUCUCUCACUUCUCUUACGGAGACUUUUAUUUGUGGUGGAAUAAAUAAAAAUUUACGAGCAAUUUACGGAGGGUCCUCCGUCAGGUCAGGGGGAUCCAUCAAUUUACUCCGAAGUGCUCGUUUGGCGCGCGGGCUACAAAAUCGUCGACGAAGUUCUCUUUAUGAAGCUAGAAUAGAUUAAUGCUCUCGUUUGUUCGGUAAUGGCCCCGAUAAAUUAUCUUAAUAGCUCGAGGCGGCUAUAAAUAUAUUCCACGGUUCCUGCGCUCUUACGCUUGUUUUCCUGCUACAUCGACUUCUCUCUGCGCGCCAUCGAACUGCCAUGUUUUCCGUGUCACUGAUACCAUGAGGCAACCAACGGUGGGAAGGGCAGGGAACGGGGGGAACGAAAGACCGACGAGAGGAUAAGAAAUGGAACGGGGAAUGAAAAUAAAAAAAGAAAGAAAAGAAGAGCAAAAUAAAAUAUAAUGGAAGUAUAAGAACGAUGCGACUCGAUGCAACAUCCUAGCGGCUUUCGUGUAAACCCACGUUGCUCGCUAAUGUUCGAUAUUAUUCAAAUUUUCUUGAGCGACCUAUGGUGGUGACGUGUGGCGGUGGUGGUGGUGUUGGUGGUGUUUCCUAGAGUAACGGAUCGUUUUAAUCUAAACUCGGUGAUCUUUCUCUAGGAAAUUUAUUACUUUAGGAACGUAGUACUACGCUUUAUUGCAUGUACUGCACGCACACGCGUUUACCAAUAUCUAAGUGAACCUCUCCCUUGCAAAUACACUUUUUUUUUUAAUCGACACACCUUUCCAAUUUUACGUAUCUUCUCACCUGUCUGAAGAAAAAAAACUCUUACUUAUAGGAAAUAUACACGAGAGAGUGUAAAAAUAUCUCAAUAACGUGACACGGAGGCUGCAUAAAUUCGAUGGAAUAUUCCCAUUAUUGCAUCGGAAUGUAGACAUUAAGAGGAUUUUAAAAAAGAAGGAGAAACCGAGAUGAAGACGAGCAAAAGAGGAAAGAAGAACUGUGAGUGCACUUGAACGAAGGGAUAGCAGCCAAUAACGACAACAGCGUUAAGAAGAAGAAGAAAAAGAAUACAACGACAGAAACGCAAAAAGUUACAUGUGUUAGCCAGCACACCCUGACUAACAGUGCAAGAUGGCUUAUUCCAAUGAGAAUAUAUGAAACAACUCGAAGGGAAACAAGCAAUACUCACAACAACCAUUCGCCGACUACACUAUAAAAUACGCCAUAAAAGGAAAGAAGAGAAGAGAAGAACCGGACAAAGAUGAAAAGACGAAUCUGAAAGGUCUAACGCAAUGUACCUGUCCGAAAUAAACUAAUCGAAAAUUUUCAAAUAUUUUCCUUUUUAAUAAGCUUCAUUUAUUAGAAAUAUUUUUAGCCGACAUUACUACGUUGACAACUUCUCAAUUUCUUUU
Molecule: long non-coding RNA, 6575 nt
Filed under: Polistes dominula (European paper wasp)
Lineage: Eukaryota; Metazoa; Arthropoda; Insecta; Hymenoptera; Vespidae
Description: uncharacterized LOC107071302
Source: RNAcentral